CAUUAUUCUAUAUUUCACACGCGUGUUUUGAUCAUAAUAAUAGUGUUUCGUUAUUCUACUAAUGUUUCGCUUUGGUCUCUUAGGAAACGUUCGAUGGAAACAAAAGGAAAUUUUGUUCAUUGUGCAUAUCCUAAGCUAUCUCCAUAGGUUUGUAUAUCGAUUGCGUAUUGAUAUCCCCCCAUCAAUCUCCAGUCAAAUAAACAGAUCCAUACGGUCUUAGUGACUAUUCACUAUGACUAUGUUAUUUUAUAGCUUUAGGUACUGCUGAUGUUAAAAAAUGAAUGCAAUAGUCUUGGAGGCAAUGGAUUUAAAAAUAGUCUAUAUACUUGUCACUCCAAACUCCAAAUCAUAUGUGCGAUCUUAUGGAAGUAUGAAUGAAUUUCUAUGAUUGAAGAUCCCCUUAAAUGUACCCAUUCUUGAUGCUAAGGAGUUCAAGAAUGGGAAAGAACUUUACCACUUAUGGACAAU
RNAcentral lists this long non-coding RNA (468 nucleotides) under Actinidia chinensis (golden kiwifruit). Its description in RNAcentral is "long non-coding RNA (ACHI_LNC003265)". The record is from RNAcentral. Lineage: Eukaryota; Viridiplantae; Streptophyta; Magnoliopsida; Ericales; Actinidiaceae.